CAGCCGCCGCGGGAAUACGUAGGUGGCAAGCGUUGUCCGGAAUUAUUGGGCGUAAAGGGCUCGCAGGCGGUUUCUUAAGUCUGAUGUGAAAGCCCCCGGCUCAACCGGGGAGGGUCAUUGGAAACUGGGAAACUUGAGUGCAGAAGAGGAGAGUGGAAUUCCACGUGUAGCGGUGAAAUGCGUAGAGAUGUGGAGGAACACCAGUGGCGAAGGCGACUCUCUGGUCUGUAACUGACGCUGAGGAGCGAAAGCGUGGGGAGCGAACAGGAUUAGAUACCCCUGUAGUCCCUGUCUCUUAUAA
RNAcentral lists this ribosomal RNA (301 nucleotides) under uncultured bacterium. RNAcentral describes it as "partial 16S ribosomal RNA". It matches the Rfam family "Bacterial small subunit ribosomal RNA", at positions 509 to 809 of the family's 1533-position model. The record is from RNAcentral.